Molecule: long non-coding RNA, 153 nt
Organism: Egretta garzetta (little egret)
Lineage: Eukaryota; Metazoa; Chordata; Aves; Pelecaniformes; Ardeidae
Exons: 3
Source: RefSeq, a predicted model, not a curated record
GGAGAGGUGGGCCUGUGUGAACCUCAUGAGGUUCAACAAGGCCAAGUGCAAGGUCCUGCACCUGGGUUGGGGCAACUCCCAGUACCAAUACAGGCUGGAGGACAAAGGCAUUGAGAGCAGCCCUGCUGAGAGAGACUUGGGGGUGCUGGUUGA